RNAcentral lists this ribosomal RNA (461 nucleotides) under uncultured Diversispora. RNAcentral's name for it is "SSU rRNA". It matches the Rfam family "Eukaryotic small subunit ribosomal RNA", at positions 569 to 1039 of the family's 1831-position model. Lineage: Eukaryota; Fungi; Glomeromycota; Glomeromycetes; Diversisporales; Diversisporaceae. The record is from RNAcentral.
AGCAGCCGCGGUAAUUCCAGCUCCAAUAGCGUAUAUUAAAGUUGUUGCAGUUAAAAGCUCGUAGUUGAACCUCGGGGUUUACUUAUUGGUCAGGCUUAAUUGUCUGUACUGGUGAGAUGAAUCUCUACCUUCUGAGGAACUUUCAUGUCAUUUAUUGGUGUGAUGGGAAAUCAGGACUGUUACUUUGAAAAAUUGAGUGUUUAAAGCAGGCUAACGUCUGAAUACAUUAGCAUGGAAUAAUGAAAUAGGACGGACUGAUUCUAUUUCGUUGGUUUCUAGGAUCACCGUAAUGAUUAAGGGAUAGUGGGGGCAUUAGUAUUCAAUUGUCAGAGGUGAAAUUCUUGGAUUUAUGAAGACUAACUACUGCGAAAGCAUUUGCCAAGGAUGUUUUCAGUUAAUCAAGAACGAAAGUUAGGGAUACGAAGACGAUACAGAUACCGUCGUAGUCUUAACAUAAACUA